This 466-nucleotide ribosomal RNA is filed under the name Vreelandella stevensii. RNAcentral's name for it is "partial 16S ribosomal RNA". It matches the Rfam family "Bacterial small subunit ribosomal RNA", at positions 338 to 795 of the family's 1533-position model. Lineage: Bacteria; Pseudomonadati; Pseudomonadota; Gammaproteobacteria; Oceanospirillales; Halomonadaceae. The record is from RNAcentral.
CCUACGGGUGGCUGCAGUGGGGAAUAUUGGACAAUGGGGGGAACCCUGAUCCAGCCAUGCCGCGUGUGUGAAGAAGGCCCUCGGGUUGUAAAGCACUUUCAGUGAGGAAGAACGCCUGGUGGUUAAUACCCAUCAGGAAAGACAUCACUCACAGAAGAAGCACCGGCUAACUCCGUGCCAGCAGCCGCGGUAAUACGGAGGGUGCGAGCGUUAAUCGGAAUUACUGGGCGUAAAGCGCGCGUAGGUGGCUUGAUAAGCCGGUUGUGAAAGCCCCGGGCUCAACCUGGGAACGGCAUCCGGAACUGUCAAGCUAGAGUGCAGGAGAGGAAGGUAGAAUUCCCGGUGUAGCGGUGAAAUGCGUAGAGAUCGGGAGGAAUACCAGUGGCGAAGGCGGCCUUCUGGACUGACACUGACACUGAGGUGCGAAAGCGUGGGUAGCAAACAGGAUUAGAUACCCGGGUAGGUC